GAUGAACGCUGGCGGCGUGCCUAAUACAUGCAAGUCGAGCGAACGGACGAGAAUCUUGCUUCUCUGAUGUUAGCGGCGGACGGGUGAGUAACACGUGGAUAACCUACCUAUAAGACUGGGAUAACUUCGGGAAACCGUAGCUAAUACCGGAUAAUAUUUUGAACCGCAUGGUUCAAAAGUGAAAGACGGUCUUGCUGUCACUUAUAGAUGGAUCCGCGCUGCAUUAGCUAGUUGGUAAGGUAACGGCUUACCAAGGCAACGAUGCAUAGCCGACCUGAGAGGGGGAUCGGCCACACUGGAACUGAGACACGGUCCAGACUCCUACGGGAGGCAGCAGUAGGGAAUCUUCCGCAAUGGGCGAAAGCCUGACGGAGCAACGCCGCGUGAGUGAUGAAGGUCUUCGGAUCGUAAAACUCUGUUAUUAGGGAAGAACAUAUGUGUAAGUAACUGUGCACAUCUUGACGGUACCUAAUCAGAAAGCCACGGCUAACUACGUG
This 497-nucleotide ribosomal RNA is filed under the name uncultured bacterium. RNAcentral's name for it is "partial 16S ribosomal RNA". It matches the Rfam family "Bacterial small subunit ribosomal RNA", at positions 28 to 507 of the family's 1533-position model. The record is from RNAcentral.